This 71-nucleotide transfer RNA is filed under the name Spilogale putorius (eastern spotted skunk). Its description in RNAcentral is "tRNA-Val". It matches the Rfam family "tRNA". Rfam says of the family: Transfer RNA (tRNA) molecules are approximately 80 nucleotides in length. Their secondary structure includes four short double-helical elements and three loops (D, anti-codon, and T loops). Further hydrogen bonds mediate the characteristic L-shaped molecular structure. tRNAs have two regions of fundamental functional importance: the anti-codon, which is responsible for specific mRNA codon recognition, and the 3' end, to which the tRNAs corresponding amino acid is attached (by aminoacyl-tRNA synthetases). tRNAs cope with the degeneracy of the genetic code in two manners: having more than one tRNA (with a specific anti-codon) for a particular amino acid; and 'wobble' base-pairing, i.e. permitting non-standard base-pairing at the 3rd anti-codon position. The record is from RNAcentral. Lineage: Eukaryota; Metazoa; Chordata; Mammalia; Carnivora; Mephitidae.
CAAAGUGUAGCUUAACUAAAGCAUCUGGCUUACACCCAGAAGAUUUCAUCUGCUAUGCCCGCUUUGGUGAU